Molecule: ribosomal RNA, 472 nt
Filed under: uncultured bacterium
Lineage: Bacteria
Description: partial 16S ribosomal RNA
Rfam family: Bacterial small subunit ribosomal RNA
Source: RNAcentral
GACGAACGCUGGCGGCAUGCUUAACACAUGCAAGUCGAACGAACAGGGGGGUACGGUGCCCGAUUCUCGUUGCCCACGGGUGGGUAACACACAGGAAGAUGCCCUUUAGUACGGAAUAAGCAAAGUAAGGGUAGCCGAAUCCAAUAUCGGCCAUUCUGUGGAACCGUUUGGUUCAAUAGUGUAAGACGGCUUUUUUAUCGCUAUAGGAUGGGUGAGCGCCGCAUUAGCUAGUUGGUAAGGUAACGGCAUACCAAGGCGACGAUCCGUAGCCGACCUGAGAGGAUGAGCAGCGACACUGGGACUGAGACACAGCCGAGAAUCCUACGGGAGGCAGCAGUGGGGGAUAGUGCACAAUGGGGGGAACCCUGAUCCAGCCAUGCCGGGUGAGUGAAGAAGGCCUUCGGGUUGUAAUGCGCUUUCGACGGGGCCGAUGAUGACGGUACCCGUACAAGAAGCCCCGGCUAACUUCGUG